CCCCUGUGGUUUUGUUUUUAUCUUUUCGGUAGCUUUUUUCUUAAUAUUUCGUUAAAUUAUAUACAAAAAACUUCAGAUACCCACAUAGAUUUAUCGAAUAUUUACUUUAGUACCCUUUAAUUUUAACUUUGUCACUGAUUUAAGAAAAAAAAUAAUAAAAUUGAUAAGAAAAAAAAAAAUGAAACCACAUGGGGGGCAAAUUGAUACACUUUAAACCACAGGGGGGUUUUUGAAGUUAUCCUUUUUUUUUUGAAAAAAUAAAGUUCUUAAUUGUCGAAU
This 279-nucleotide long non-coding RNA is filed under the name Ananas comosus (pineapple). Its description in RNAcentral is "long non-coding RNA (ACOM_LNC023242)". Lineage: Eukaryota; Viridiplantae; Streptophyta; Magnoliopsida; Poales; Bromeliaceae. The record is from RNAcentral.